UACAGAGGUCCCAAGCGUUGUUCGGAUUCACUGGGCGUAAAGGGUGCGUAGGUGGCCAGGUAAGUUUGGUGUGAAAGCUCGGAGCUUAACUCCGAAAAGUCAUUGAAUACUAUCUGGCUGGAGGGUCGGAGGGGAGACUGGAAUUCUCGGUGUAGCAGUGGAAUGCGUAGAUAUCGAGAGGAACACCAGUGGCGAAGGCGAGUCUCUGGACGACUCCUGACACUGAGGCACGAAAGCUAGGGGAGCAAACAGG
This 253-nucleotide ribosomal RNA is filed under the name uncultured bacterium. RNAcentral's name for it is "partial 16S ribosomal RNA". It matches the Rfam family "Bacterial small subunit ribosomal RNA", at positions 524 to 776 of the family's 1533-position model. The record is from RNAcentral.